CCUACGGGUGGCUGCAGUGGGGAAUAUUGGACAAUGGGCGAAAGCCUGAUCCAGCCAUGCCGCGUGUGUGAAGAAGGCCUUCGGGUUGUAAAGCACUUUCAGUGGGGAAGAAAGCCUUGGGGCUAAUACCCUCGAGGAAGGACAUCACCCACAGAAGAAGCACCGGCUAACUCCGUGCCAGCAGCCGCGGUAAUACGGAGGGUGCGAGCGUUAAUCGGAAUUACUGGGCGUAAAGCGCGCGUAGGCGGUCUGAUAAGCCGGUUGUGAAAGCCCCGGGCUCAACCUGGGAACGGCAUCCGGAACUGUCAGGCUAGAGUGCAGGAGAGGAAGGUAGAAUUCCCGGUGUAGCGGUGAAAUGCGUAGAGAUCGGGAGGAAGACCAGUGGCGAAGGCGGCCUUCUGGACUGACACUGACGCUGAGGUGCGAAAGCGUGGGUAGCAAACAGGAUUAGAUACCCGUGUAGUC
Molecule: ribosomal RNA, 465 nt
Filed under: Vreelandella stevensii
Lineage: Bacteria; Pseudomonadati; Pseudomonadota; Gammaproteobacteria; Oceanospirillales; Halomonadaceae
Description: partial 16S ribosomal RNA
Rfam family: Bacterial small subunit ribosomal RNA
Source: RNAcentral